This 742-nucleotide ribosomal RNA is filed under the name uncultured bacterium. RNAcentral's name for it is "bacterial SSU rRNA". It matches the Rfam family "Bacterial small subunit ribosomal RNA", at positions 8 to 796 of the family's 1533-position model. The record is from RNAcentral.
AGAGUUUGAUCAUGGCUCAGAGCGAACGCUGGCGGCAGGCCUAACACAUGCAAGUCGAGCGCCGUAGCAAUACGGAGCGGCAGACGGGAGAGUAACACGUGGGAACGUGCCCUUCAGUUCGGAACAACCCAGGGAAACUUGGGCUAAUACCGGAUACGUCCGUAAGGAGAAAGAUUUAUCGCUGAAGGAUCGGCCCGCGUCUGAUUAGCUAGUUGGUGGGGUAAUGGCCCACCAAGGCGACGAUCAGUAGCUGGUCUGAGAGGAUGAUCAGCCUCACUGGGACUGAGACACGGCCCAGACUCCUACGGGAGGCAGCAGUGGGGAAUAUUGGACAAUGGGCGCAAGCCUGAUCCAGCCAUGCCGCGUGGGUGAUGAAGGCCCUAGGGUUGUAAAGCCCUUUCGGCGGGGAAGAUAAUGACGGUACCCGCAGAAGAAGCCCCGGCUAACUUCGUGCCAGCAGCCGCGGUAAUACGAAGGGGGCUAGCGUUGCUCGGAAUCACUGGGCGUAAAGGGUGCGUAGGCGGGUCUUUAAGUCAGGGGUGAAAUCCUGGAGCUCAACUCCAGAACUGCCUUUGAUACUGAGGAUCUUGAGUUCGGGAGAGGUGAGUGGAACUGCGAGUGUAGAGGUGAAAUUCGUAGAUAUUCGCAAGAACACCAGUGGCGAAGGCGGCUCACUGGCCCGAUACUGACGCUGAGGCACGAAAGCGUGGGGAGCAAACAGGAUUAGAUACCCCCGUAGUCC